UGGGGAAUAUUGGACAAUGGGCGGAAGCCUGAUCCAGCCAUGCCGCGUGUGUGAAGAAGGCCUUUUGGUUGUAAAGCACUUUAAGCGAGGAGGAGGCUACUUGGAUUAAUACUCUAGGAUAGUGGACGUUACUCGCAGAAUAAGCACCGGCUAACUCUGUGCCAGUAGCCGCGGUAAUACAGAGGGUGCGAGCGUUAAUCGGAUUUACUGGGCGUAAAGCGUGCGUAGGCGGCUUCUUAAGUCGGAUGUGAAAUCCCUGAGCUUAACUUAGCAAUUGCAUUCGAUACUGGGUAGCUAGAGUAUGGGAGAGGAUGGUAGAAUUCCAGGUGUAGCGGUGAAAUGCGUAGAGAUCUGGAGGAAUACCGAUGGCGAAGGCAGCCAUCUGGCCUAAUACUGACGCUGAGGUACGAAAGCAUGGGGAGCAAACAGG
Molecule: ribosomal RNA, 430 nt
Filed under: bacterium
Lineage: Bacteria
Description: partial 16S ribosomal RNA
Rfam family: Bacterial small subunit ribosomal RNA
Source: RNAcentral